GACGAACGCUGGCGGCGUGCCUAAUACAUGCAAGUUGAGCGCUGAAGGUUGGUACUUGUACCAACUGGAUGAGCAGCGAACGGGUGAGUAACGCGUGGGGAAUCUGCCUUUGAGCGGGGGACAACAUUUGGAAACGAAUACUAAUACCGCAUAAAAACUUUAAACACAAGUUUUAAGUUUGAAAGAUGCAAUUGCAUCACUCAAAGAUGAUCCCGCGUUGUAUUAGCUAGUUGGUGAGGUAAAGGCUCACCAAGGCGAUGAUACAUAGCCGACCUGAGAGGGUGAUCGGCCACAUUGGGACUGAGACACGGCCCAAACGCCUACGGGAGGCAGCAGUAGGGAAUCUUCGGCAAUGGGCGAGAGUCUGACCGAGAAACGCCGAGGGAGUGAAGAAGGUUGUCGGGUCGUAAAACUCGGUUGGUAGGGAAGAACGUUGGUGAGAGUGGAAAGCUCAUCAAGUGACGGUAACUACCCAGAAAGGAACGGCUAACUACGUG
RNAcentral lists this ribosomal RNA (497 nucleotides) under uncultured bacterium. RNAcentral's name for it is "partial 16S ribosomal RNA". It matches the Rfam family "Bacterial small subunit ribosomal RNA", at positions 28 to 507 of the family's 1533-position model. The record is from RNAcentral.